Molecule: ribosomal RNA, 433 nt
Filed under: uncultured organism
Description: bacterial SSU rRNA
Rfam family: Bacterial small subunit ribosomal RNA
Source: RNAcentral
GUGCAGCAGGCGCGAAUUUUCACAAUGGGGGAAACCCUGAUGGAGCGACGCCGCGUGGAGGAUGAAGGCCCUCGGGUCGUAAACUCCUGUCAUGCGGGAACAAGAAAGUGAUAGUACCGCAAGAGGAAGAGACGGCUAACUCUGUGCCAGCAGCCGCGGUAAUACAGAGGUCUCAAGCGUUAUUCGGAUUCAUUGGGCGUAAAGGGUGCGUAGGUGGCGAUGUAAGUCUGGUGUGAAAUCUCGGGGCUUAACCCCGAAACUGCAUUGGAUACUGCGUUGCUUGAGGAUUGUAGAGGAGAGUGGAAUUCACGGUGUAGCAGUGAAACGCGUAGAUAUCGUGAGGAAGACCAGUUGCGAAGGCGACUCUCUGGGCAAUUCCUGACACUGAGGCACGAAGGCCAGGGGAGCAAACGGGAUUAGAUACCCCUGUAGU